GGUAAGAUGGCCGAGGGAAAGGCGGUGGUUUGUAGCUCCAAUAACAGAGGUUUGAGUCCUCUUCUUACCA
Molecule: transfer RNA, 70 nt
Filed under: Espadarana prosoblepon (emerald glass frog)
Lineage: Eukaryota; Metazoa; Chordata; Amphibia; Anura; Centrolenidae
Description: tRNA-Tyr
Rfam family: tRNA
About the family: Transfer RNA (tRNA) molecules are approximately 80 nucleotides in length. Their secondary structure includes four short double-helical elements and three loops (D, anti-codon, and T loops).
Source: RNAcentral